UAAACUAGGAUUAGAUACCCUAUUAUUUUAAUAUAUAAAUAUUUUACCUGGGUAUUAAUAGUUAUGUUCUUUAAACCUAAAGAAUUUGGCGGUAUUUUAAGUCUAUUCAGAGGAAUUUGUCCCGUUAUCGAUAAUCCUCGUUUAUAUCUAACUUAAUUUUGAUUGUUUUUAGUUUGUAUACCUCCGUUAAUAAGUUAAUUUUUUUAGAACUAAAAUUUACUUUAUAUUUUAUUUGAUAUUAUUUCAGGUCAAGGUGCAGCUGAUAAUUAAGUGGAGAUGAAUUACAAUAUUUUAUGAAUAUUAUGAAUAUAUAAUUGCAAUAAAAUUUUAUUGAAGGUGGAUUUGAUAGUAAUUUUAUUUAGUUAAAUUUUUUGAUUAUGUAGCUCUAAGAUAAGUACACAUCG
Molecule: ribosomal RNA, 404 nt
Filed under: Tirachoidea westwoodii
Lineage: Eukaryota; Metazoa; Arthropoda; Insecta; Phasmatodea; Phasmatidae
Description: partial 12S ribosomal RNA
Source: RNAcentral